Long non-coding RNA from Etheostoma spectabile (orangethroat darter), 210 nucleotides. RefSeq lists it as uncharacterized. The record is from RefSeq and is a predicted model, not a curated record. NCBI's taxonomy places the organism in Eukaryota, Metazoa, Chordata, Actinopteri, Perciformes, Percidae. The transcript has 3 exons.
AAGGAUGCAGUUGGAAUAUGUAGAUGUAGUUUUUGCCAACCGCCCUGACAGCAACACUCCCAUGGAGGAGAUUGUUCGGGCCAUGACCUAUGUCAUCAACCAAGGCAUGGCAAUGUACUGGGGGACGUCUCGGUGGACGGCCAUGGAGAUUAUGGAGGCAUAUUCGGUGGCAAGACAGUUUAAUCUGAUCCCUCCAGUGUGUGAGCGGCA